AAAGCACGUGCCACGCACGCAACGAUUGCGAGCGUGUUAUUUUGAUAGCUGACUAAAUGAUCGGGCUCAAAAGGGUGCCAAACUCGAUCGAUGCCGUUCGGCUAACCAGAUUAGUAUAGGCGGCGACAGGUGCCAUCGCAUUAUACUCCGAGAGUGCUCAAUGUACAAUGUACUCGUAGUAGUAGUUCAAAUAAUACUACUGGCAAGUGCAGUACUUUUUACUAAAGUUCGCUCACUUAAUCCUGAAAUAUUACACCAGAUAAAAAACUAUUCGAUCAAGAAUACUAUAGUUUUUUUUUACUCAUAUCUUCAUUUUCAUUGUGCAGGAAUACGUGCGUGAGAGAACCCGGGAGGGAUGUUGGUGGUGGUGACUUCGUCGACCUCGCAGCGGAGCGCGACAUGAUUUUCGCUGGGAAAAGGACAGAGUUAAACGACUGGGAUGCGUCCUAAGGUACGUUCAUGUCAUCGCGCCUCAUAUUUUAUAAAGCCGUGAUACGGCGAAGAAACAGAACAAGAAAAACAAAA
This is a long non-coding RNA of Pogonomyrmex barbatus (red harvester ant), 525 nucleotides long. NCBI's taxonomy places the organism in Eukaryota, Metazoa, Arthropoda, Insecta, Hymenoptera, Formicidae. The record is from RefSeq and is a predicted model, not a curated record.